Mya arenaria is the source of this 189-nucleotide long non-coding RNA. RefSeq lists it as uncharacterized. The record is from RefSeq and is a predicted model, not a curated record. Lineage: Eukaryota; Metazoa; Mollusca; Bivalvia; Myida; Myidae. The transcript has 3 exons.
CCGAUUUCGGAUGUUUGAAGAUUUGUUUUGAUUGUCAAUGACUUUACAAGGAUACAUUGACGUCUCCUGCAUCGUGAGAUAUAAAGCCAUAGAAUACAUUCAUGCCACUCAAAUUCAGCCACUCAGAAUGAUGGAAAGGAUUGCAGAACUGAGUUUCACUCUCACCUGACUGAUGCAGAUUAAGUAACC